AUUUUCAAUUUUUCACUUCCCACCAUUCGACCAAAACCCGAGCUCGCGCUUCCCUCUCUCAAAAUCACUCUUCAUCUCCCCGAGCAGCCAUCUAUCUCUCCCACUCUCCCUGUCAGCUUUCUCUCUCUUCCACUCAACAAAACUACCUCUCUCUUCUCACAGCGCCCAUCUUUCUCCUUCGCCUUUACAAAAAUAAGAGAAAGUGGGAAGAAGAAAACAUAUAGCGCCAUAUAGACGAUGAUUGAGAAAUCGAAACCCAAAUUUCUCUUACUCUUUCUCUCCGCCCCCUUCUGCAAAACCCUAGCUUUCUCUCGCCGCCGCCCCAUCAAUACAGAAGCCCACCGAACUGGUUGAAGAUCUCUAUUCCCGAUGUAAGCAAAUCUCCAAACCCUAGAUUUCUGAUGUGGGUUUUGUAAUUUGGGGGUUUUUAAUUGGGAGACCUAGAAUUUUAUAUCGAAGACGGAGAUGGACUCGAAGACGGAAACGAAAAAAUGCAGAGUAGCUUAGCAGCAGCAGAAACAGUUGGUAACUACGAAGACCUCCUGAAACAGGUCCUCCUACGUUUACCAGCUCGAUCACUCAUCCGCUUCAUAUGCGUCUCUAAGCUUUGGCUCUCUCAUCUCCAGCCCCAAAUUCUGCGAAUCUCACACCCUCUAAAACCCAAUCCCAAGAAUGGGGAGGUUGAGUCGGUAAUUGGGUAUUGUCGAAUUUCUCAUCAAGUCUACAACAAAGUUGAUGAUUAUUACAAGUUCAGAGACGCAAUCAAUCAACUUGUUUCUGAAGGGUUUACUUGUGCUCUACUUUCUAAUUGAUGAGUUCGAUGAAGCAACCGAAGAAGUUCUUCAGAUGAAUAACGUCCAUGGUUAUCUGCCUCUUCUGCAUGCCUCCUUGUUGUUGUAAAUGUUUAAUGACUCAUUUGUAUGGUUAUAUAACUUUGACAAAGUACUAGAUAAUAUAAAACUUGUGACACUGAAAGUUUGCUAUAUAAACCCCUUGUUACAAUUUUUGUCAAUUUCUCACAGAUGCUCCUUUAGUGGUAAGAGUUUCUUGUUCACUUUUCAUUUAUAUUGCAUUGGCGUUUUGUAAAAUAGCAUUCAUUCUCACCAUGCUUUCUUUACAGGUCAACACUUGCAAUGGAUUUUAUUGUGAUCAAUUCACCCCAAAUUCUGCUUCUGGUUUUCUCUUUAGGCGUUGAGAUAAAAAAGAGUUGUGGUUAAUUUGAGAGUUUGUAAUCAUCAUGAGACUGCCAAUAUGUUUGAAUAAAUUUUUAUACACUGAACUAGGUACAUGUUAGUUGUUCGAUUUACCAAGAUAUAGGUAAUUAACUUAUUUCUUUUCUUUUGUGUGCAGACUAUAGUCCUCAAGGUUGUGUGUAAACUAGAAGGCAGGUGCUAAAGAGAAGGGUUUGAAGCCAAUAUAGGUGCAUAUGCAAUUGGGAACCAAAGUGUUGUGGAGCUCUUCUUUCCUUUAUCUGUUUUGGUAUUUAAUUUAGUAUGUUUUUGGCCUUUAGGUA
Long non-coding RNA from Rosa rugosa (rugosa rose), 1513 nucleotides. RefSeq lists it as uncharacterized. The transcript is spliced from 3 exons. NCBI's taxonomy places the organism in Eukaryota, Viridiplantae, Streptophyta, Magnoliopsida, Rosales, Rosaceae. The record is from RefSeq and is a predicted model, not a curated record.